GGUUCUAUAGUGUAGUGGUCAUCACAUCUGCUUUACACGCAGAAGGUCCUGGGUUCAAUCACCAGUAGAACCA
Molecule: non-coding RNA, 73 nt
Organism: Sphaeramia orbicularis (orbiculate cardinalfish)
Lineage: Eukaryota; Metazoa; Chordata; Actinopteri; Kurtiformes; Apogonidae
Source: the annotation of a RefSeq genome assembly